GCACAAGUAACUUACAACCUAAAUGGUAGUGAAUUAGGCAUAACCACACACGAGAAGGAUUUGGGAAUUGUUAUAGACAACAAAUUAGGCAGCCAUAUGCAAUGUCAAUCUGCAGUUGCUAAGGCCAGUAAGGUUUUGUCAUGUAUAAAUAGGGGAAUAAAUUCUCAGGAUGAAAAUACAAUUUUGCCUCUUUAUAAAUCGCUGGUAAGACCACACCUUGAAUAUGCUGUGCAAUUUUGGGCACCUGUUCUAAAAAAGGACAUCAUGGCACUAUAAAAGAUGCAGAGACGAGCUACAAAAUUGAUAAAAGGAAUGGAGCA
RNAcentral lists this long non-coding RNA (320 nucleotides) under Pelobates cultripes (western spadefoot toad). Lineage: Eukaryota; Metazoa; Chordata; Amphibia; Anura; Pelobatidae. The record is from RNAcentral.